GCUCUCGUGGCGAAACUGGAAAACGCGCCCGACUUGGAGUCAGGUGGUCCCUGCGACCUUGCGGGUUCGAGCCCCGCCGAGAGCACCA
Molecule: transfer RNA, 88 nt
Filed under: Bryobacterales bacterium
Lineage: Bacteria; Pseudomonadati; Acidobacteriota; Terriglobia; Bryobacterales
Description: tRNA-Pro
Rfam family: tRNA
About the family: Transfer RNA (tRNA) molecules are approximately 80 nucleotides in length. Their secondary structure includes four short double-helical elements and three loops (D, anti-codon, and T loops). Further hydrogen bonds mediate the characteristic L-shaped molecular structure. tRNAs have two regions of fundamental functional importance: the anti-codon, which is responsible for specific mRNA codon recognition, and the 3' end, to which the tRNAs corresponding amino acid is attached (by aminoacyl-tRNA synthetases). tRNAs cope with the degeneracy of the genetic code in two manners: having more than one tRNA (with a specific anti-codon) for a particular amino acid; and 'wobble' base-pairing, i.e. permitting non-standard base-pairing at the 3rd anti-codon position.
Source: RNAcentral